This 484-nucleotide ribosomal RNA is filed under the name uncultured bacterium. Its description in RNAcentral is "bacterial SSU rRNA". It matches the Rfam family "Bacterial small subunit ribosomal RNA", at positions 30 to 507 of the family's 1533-position model. The record is from RNAcentral.
AUUGAACGCUGGCGGCAUGCCUUACACAUGCAAGUCGAACGGCAGCACGGGAGCAAUCCUGGUGGCGAGUGGCGAACGGGUGAGUAAUAUAUCGGAACGUGCCCAGUCGUGGGGGAUAACGUAGCGAAAGCUACGCUAAUACCGCAUACGAUCUACGGAUGAAAGCGGGGGAUCGCAAGACCUCGCGCGAUUGGAGCGGCCGAUAUCAGAUUAGCUAGUUGGUGGGGUAAAAGCUCACCAAGGCGACGAUCUGUAGCUGGUCUGAGAGGAUGAUCAGCCACACUGGAACUGAGACACGGUCCAGACUCCUACGGGAGGCAGCAGUAGGGAAUAUUGGACAAUGGGCGCAAGCCUGAUCCAGCCAUGCCGCGUGAGUGAAGAAGGCCCUCGGGUUGUAAAGCUCUUUUGUCCGGAAAGAAAAGCGCCGGGUUAAUACCCUAGUGUCCUGACGGUACCGGAAGAAUAAGCACCGGCUAACUUCGUG